Molecule: non-coding RNA, 423 nt
Organism: Ciona intestinalis (vase tunicate)
Lineage: Eukaryota; Metazoa; Chordata; Ascidiacea; Phlebobranchia; Cionidae
Source: RefSeq, a predicted model, not a curated record
UAUGUAGCUUGUGAAGUUUGCUGGUGAGAUCGUCGCUUUGGUCGUUGUUACACACGCCUAAAAUUUGUGUAUACACUUUGAGUGACAUAGAUUAAAUGGAAAAGCGAAAAGACGAAAAGUAACUCUGCUACGGCGCCAGACUAAGUUUCAUUUUUGACUUACCGCACAGUCCAGUCAUUUUUCCUUCGUAAGCUUCAUAUGGGAUUUUGAGACUCAAGUUCCUUGUAUCCUGACACCUCAACUCUGACAUCGUCGCCUUCCCACGCGGAUAAGACUUCAGUCUCAACGCCGUUGUAGACGAACUGAAAUAAAUUGUAGUUUUAAAAUAUGGUAUAAGCAUAUGGACCUCACCUUCUGUCCGAAAGUGAACGUGUAGUUAUUUCCUUUAUGCAAAACGAUGAGUGUCUUAAGACAGCUGAGGUC